Molecule: ribosomal RNA, 125 nt
Filed under: Lutzomyia longipalpis
Lineage: Eukaryota; Metazoa; Arthropoda; Insecta; Diptera; Psychodidae
Source: RNAcentral
UUUUACGAAAUUCCUUCGAAAAGCGAACGCUACACGGUUCUCGUCCGAUCACCGAAGUCAAGCAGCAUCGGGCGCGGUUAGUACUUGGAUGGGGGACCGCUUGGGAACACCGCGUGCCGUUGGCA